RNA transcript from Mercenaria mercenaria, 12778 nucleotides. It is a transcript of the gene named interferon-inducible GTPase 1-like, with no coding region annotated. The transcript has 5 exons. The record is from RefSeq and is a predicted model, not a curated record. NCBI's taxonomy places the organism in Eukaryota, Metazoa, Mollusca, Bivalvia, Venerida, Veneridae.
UCUUCGUGGAAAAUGUAUUUUCGCUUUAGCUAGUAAAAACAAAACAGCUGGUAAAUCGAAAGUAACAAUAAAUUGUCUUGAUCUUCCUCUUAUUUCUGUUAGGUAAAUUUUAUCAGACUGUUUUAAAUGUAUUGAAAGGAUAUUUCACGAAAUAUCCACACAAGUCUUUUUAAGAAAAAAAAUCAUGAACGUUAUCAUUUUAUGUGACUACCUUAAACUGGUAUGCUACAUGACGUUAAAUGUUACAUUGUAAACAAAUCAUAAGGAUUACCUGAGCCUGCCUAAUUUUUAUCAAUUGUAAGCAGGGCACCAGAUAAUACAGCGGAAGUGAAAAGGAAGACCUUCGUUGACAGGAUUUUGAGAAAUUGCUAGGGAUAAAGGACCACCCGUAAUGUUGAAAAAGAAACCCACAUGAUGUAACUAUAAUUUCGGGGGACAACAAAACCAGAAAUAGGUUUCAGAACUUUCUAGGGACAACUAAACCACAAUACUUAGUAUACAUCAGAACUUUUUAGGGACAACCAAAACACAAGUAUGCAUUAGAACGUUCUAGGGACAACCAAACCACAAGUAUAGAGCAGAACAUUCUAGGGACAACCAAACCACAAGUAUAGAGCAGAACAUUCUAGGGACAACCAAACCACAAGUAUACAGCAAAACUUUCUAGGGACAACCAAACCACAAGUAAACAUUAGAACGUUCUAGGGACAACCAAACCACAAGUAUACAGCAAAACUUUCUAGGGACAACCAAACCACAAGUAUACAGCAAAACUUUCUAGGGACAACCAAACCACAAGUAUACAUCAGAACGUUCUAGGGACAACCAAACCACAAGUAUACAGCAAAACUUUCUAGGGACAACCAACCCACAAGUAUACAGCAAAACUUUCUAGGGACAACCAAACCACAAGUAUACAGCAAAACUUUCUAGGGACAACCAAAACACAAGUAUACAGGUAUACAGCAGAACUUUCUAGGAACAACCAAACAACAAGUAUACAGGUAUACAGCAGAACUUUCUAGGGACAACCAAACCACAAGUAUACAUCAGAACUUUCUAGGGACUAAUAAACCACAAGUAUACAUCAGAAUUUCUAGGGACAACCAAACCACAAGUAUACAGGUAUACAGCAGAACUUUCUAGGGACAACCAAAACACAAGUAUACAGGAAUACAGCAGAACUUUCUAGGGACAACCAAACCACAAGUAUACAUCAGAACUUUCUAGGGACUAAUAAACCACAAGUAUACAUCAGAACUUCUAGAGACUAAUAAACCAUCAGGGUAUGGCAGAAUUUUCUAUGUACAAGGACACAUAAAAACGUUAUAACAGAAAUUUCUGAGUACAAAGAAACCUCCAAGGUACUCUAGAAUAUCUUGGGGACACAAAAUCCCUAGCACUGUAAAAAAAUAGAAAUGCACAGUUAUAUAAAACAACUGUUUGAUAAAUGUCUUACAGAAUUUAAUGAGAAUCUACGUAGAUGCAUUGAUACUAACAUAGCGGUUGUUGGAAAUUCAGGGACAGGGAAGUCUUCAUUUAUCAAUUCAAUUAGAGGCUUGAAGGCUAAAGAUCCCGGGGCUGCAGAAGUUGGUGUUAACGAAACCACCGUCACGUGCGUUCCAUACAAACAUCCUCUGAAUAAUAGUUUCAUUGUGUGGGAUAUUCCUGGCGUCGGAACACCAAAGUUUCCAAAACAUACAUACUUACAAAAGGUCGGGUAUGAUAAAUAUGACUUCUUUAUCAUUAUGAGCAGAAGCAGGUUUACAGAAAAUGACCUGUGGUUAGCUCUUGAAGUACAAAAGCUGAACAAAAAAUUUUUCUUUGUGCGUUCAAAUAUUGAUAAAGAUGUUGAGAACGACAGAGAGGACGAUCCAGAUAACCACAAUGAAGAGAAGGUUCUCCAAACUAUACGACAGAAAACAGAAGAUGAGCUGAAGAGUAAUGGAGUGAAAACACCUGAAAUUUUUUUAAUAAACAAUCGUCGUAGAGACAAAUACGACUUCGAAAAACUUAACAGUGAUUUGCUUUCAUUAUUUGCUACUUAAUUUAGUAACUUUAAAAAUGAAAUCUAGGAACAGCUGCAGAUAGCAUGAGAAUAAGCCAUCUUUUUGGCUUACGUAUGGUGGGUGGUUCUUAUUUUGGAAUUAUCUAAAAAGUGUAGCUACAUAGGCAUCUUAUUGUAUUCAUACAUGUUUUAGUGUUGAAAGUAUCCAAUACUGUGUUGGUACAGGCACCAAUAUCUCUCCCCAACCUCCACACAGACGUAUGCAGGAGUUUAAACUCAUCCUCGGUAACCCAGGCCAUUCAUUACGUAUACACUUCAUUGAAUAGAGAGUAACGGAAUGGAUUGGCCAGUUGGAAACAGUGAAAUCAAGAAAUCAUGAAAUCGUGAAGUUUAAUGGUGAAAUCGCGAAAUCGUGAAUUCGUGAAGUGGAAAUCGUGAAAUCAAGAAAUCAUGAAAUCGUGAAAGUUUAACCGUGAAAUCGUGGGAUCAAGAAAUUGUGAAAUCGUGAAGUUUAAUCUUGAAAUCGUGAAUUCGUGAAGUCAUGAAUUCGUGAAGUGGAAUCGUGAAAUCAGGAAGCAGAAAUCGUGAAUUCGUGAUUUCACGAAGUGGAAAUCGUGAAAUCAUGAAGCAGAAAGCGUGAAAUAAUGAAGUUGGGUCUUUCGUACCUCAAUUAAGUAUGUGAGACUUCAACUCUAUACAAUACAUUUCCAUUCAUCACAGUUUCGACACAAUCCGGUUCAACUAUAGAACCGUGGAAAAUCUCUGGAAAGUCCAGAAUGCAAAACCACUGAAAUACACUUAAAUCAUGACUGAAAAUUAGAGUCAAUGUUAACUUGUAUUGUUAAGUCUAUGCUCCAUUCAUGCUUUGUUACGAUGAUUACUAGUAUAUAUAUACUAGUAUAUACUUAUAUACUAUAUAUACUUUCAUUUUGACCGACUAAAUUAUAAAAGGGUACCUACUCAGGUAUUUUAUUGUAUCACACGAGUUUGUCUUCGUGUAUUCAGGGCGAAGGCAUGAGAGAACAAUAAACUGCCGAAGACAAGACAAAGAGGAUUAAUAUCCGACGAUGGUAUUGCCAUGGAAUAUUUUGAGUGACACGAGGGGACAAGAAGACAAGACAAAUCAGCAGUUUUUGUCUUCGCCCUGUAGAUACAAUGACACAAAAUGGAAGAUGUCAGCAAUCAGAUGUUACAUAAUAUUAUAUUUCAUAUGAAUUUUUAUUAGCUUAUAAAUUUUGUAUUAACAGUUACAAAUGAAGACUAAACAACAUACGUCAUGUUGCUUUUUUGCUUUUUGUCACAAAGUGAGAAAAAUGUACAGGUAAUCCUUGGACUCCGCUUUCAGGGCGGGUGUUCUACUUACUGAGCUUCUAGGCAUCCUCGUACCUGUUCUUCCCUAAUGUGACUAUGUAUGUACCAUCGCAUUGUUCCAAUGAAUUUGGGAACAAAACCCUUACAUUUGUAAAAUCAAUCGCAAUAAGUGGGAUAACAAGAUUUUAACUAUGCUUAUUCAACUUCAAACAUAUUUAUGAUAUGUAAAAAAAAGUAGUUAAAUGCAUUUUUGAUUAAUUGCUCCAAGAGUAACUAUACUUCAGCAGUUACCCGAGAAUACCGUUUAUCAGGAUUAUAUAGUAUCAUUUACCUGUCAGGUAUCGUAACGAUUUUGAGUAACUGAACAGUUCAUUAUUGCCUAUACUUGUUCGUUCUAACAAAUCUUUGAAAGCAUAGUACUUUCCACAAGAGUUUCUAUAUUGAUAUUUUAGUUGCAUUUUAUUUCAUGUAUUAUAUAAUAAUAAUUACUUUCCAAUUUAUUUUUCUUAUAUAUACAUGUAUAUCAGUUUAAUAAGGGCCCGGCUAAAAGAGUCACCCUCUUAUUAUGUACUUAUAUGUCCUCAUCACUACAACUUGUGUUAGAUUGAGACGAUAUAAAUCCAAGAUCAAUGUUUUAUAACAUAUUUGUUAAAAAGAUCAACAAGACAUUUUUCACUCUAAGGACUAACUUCCGAUGUCCGGGUCUUGUCCAGUGAUGUAUCGCGAUAAUUAGAUGUUGAUUCGCUUAUAAAAGUGAUAAAUAAUUACUUAUAAACAACACUUAUCUGGACGCAUUUCAAUUGCAAUCGUUAGCAAUGGCUACUAUUGAAAUAUCGGGGAAUAACUGCUACACAGACCUCCAUAUUUAUACGGACGCUUACGCAUUACCUGGGAGUAACGAGCAUUACUAUAAUUCGCUACAGCAUACAAAAGCCCCGGCGCCAGCAUCGCACAGUCGAAAAAUUUGCUAAGAGGUAACUUUUUCAAAAAUUCUAAAUUAUUAGCUGGUUUAGUUGCGGGUGUAGUUUUGGUACUGUUAGUUUGCAGUUUAUCUGCAGGAUAUGUAAGAGGAAAAGGUGCGUGUGAAAAACGUGAAAGACAGCGCUUAGAAUACCAGGACGCGACGAGAUUUAGAACAAUUACGGGGCAGCCAUUGUCGACAACUUUCGAAAGUGUCACAUCUUAUAUGUGGAAGAGAACAACUGAGAUGAGCAUAUCUACCUAUAGGACAGUAAUUACAACUGGCAGAAUCUCCACCGUAAUAGGUAUUGGUUGAUUAAGUCACCAUAUUCAAAUUUUUUUGUAUUAUCUUUAAAAGAUGAAGUAGCCGUAUUGGUGAGCUAAGUUGGGAUAAUUCUCAACUUUUCAUUUAAUAUGUCAUAUCUUUGGGCGAAUACUCUCCUUUACGAUUCGCAUUAGACAACAAGGUAUUUGUUUCCUAAGUAGACAGUUACUGGCGAAGAACAAGUUGUUACUGGUAAGAAACCCAGAAACAACAAUACUACCAUACAUUUUCAAAGUGUGAAAAGGGUGAUAAAAUUUGAGAAAUUAAUUUCAAAGUCACCUUAACAACUAAUAAUCUUUACGAACGUGUUAAUUAUAUAGAUAAAUAGCUUUUUGCGGAAAUUGGUAUACUUGUGAUAGCAACUAACGACAACUCUUGUCAUAGGUUAUAGUUAUCAAUUCAUACUUACUUUGACAACAAGUUCAUACUUUUAAACGUAUUCGAUUUGAAAAUAAUUCUUUGGACGAAUUUAGGGAGAAGUCACAAUAAAGUGUUGGUCUAAAUCCUAUACAUUUAAAAACAUUUGAUGUUUAAUCUGUUGUGAUAAAAAGGACAUACAAUGACUAAUUUGAAAGUUAUCUUCUCUUUUUUUGAGAUCACAUGCUUCAUCCAUUUUGUGCGGACAGAGAAUUUAAGUGACAAAAUUCAACGCUAACUUGGACGGGAAAACGUUCAGAAUUUACCGGCUAACAGACCAGAAACACUGGCAUUAUGACGGAUGCUGCAAUAAAUUUGUUUCCGGGAUAUGGCAGCCAAAGGACAUGUACACCCUUUUCAAAUUUAUCAAAAUGUCUGACGGCUCCUUCAAAAUUCAGUCAGGACCUAGGCGAGUGUACAUGUUUGAUGGCCAUGGUGUUAAGGGAGCACGGUCCACUUAUUUGAAUGGAAUGGACAACAUUGAUGAUGAUCACAUGCGUUUUCUCGUUACUAUGGAGACUUUAGACACUUGUAGAAUCCGCACUUAAGCAACAGGGCGCUACCUCAGGAUGGAUAAUAAUCUACAUGUGACAUCAAUUUUGAAUAUCAAGGACAGAAAUUCUUUAUUUCGUUUAGACGAAGUUCAAUGAACGUUUCUAUUUAUUUACACAUAAGGACCACAGCGAGCAUUUAUUUAUCAGAACUAUUGCCGAUAGCAGCCACAACGUUAAAUCAUCAAGUCCGGUUAAACAUAGGCACCAAAAAUGUGACAACACUGCAUCUUAUGAAUUCUUUUUCAUGUUGUAUUGCAAUGUUCUUUGUAUUGUUAUUUUUACAAACCCAUUUUAUUUUGUACUAGAUUCUGGGGCGGUACGAUUUCGAUUUGCACUGCAAUUGUUAACCUUUUUAUUCAGGAUUCACCUUUCGAUAAAAUCGCAAUACUAUUGAUUUUGCUAAUUAAUUGUCUCUGAAUUUCUCCUUUUUACUUUAAAUAGUAUUUGCUUACUAUAGAACAAAUGUAAAAUAUGUGUAUAAAACUAAUUCAUGUAGAUAGUUAUGUAACAAAAAUGUGUAUUACCUUUGCAUCGAGAAAUAUGCACUCGUCCUUUAAGAAUACUACAUUUUGUAUUGUGAUCCAAUAGUCGCUACCGCAAUAUUUCCGCUGCCGAACUCGUGCAAGCUUCUCGAUGCAAAGCAAAAAGACCUAUAAAUACAUAUCGAUUUUAUACACACACGCAGAUGAUGACAUGUUUACGCUGUUGGUUGUUUGCAAUAGGAAUUAAAUUACUGUGCCUUGUUGCCAACAACGACCUUGUCCUUGGGCAUGAACGGAUCAUCUAUAAUUCAUUAGAAGUUCUUUAAGUAGUGAAGCUGUAAUAACAGGUUUAGUAUGAUUGCGUAUUCUCGUUAUGCAGUUCGGCGUUCUUCGGACGUAGGCGUAGUUGAACGUGCACACGACGUUCCGUAAACCCUGAGGAGAACCGAAAUUGCAUACGGAAAAUACGUUAAUUUUUGAAUGUCAUUUCAGGUCCAAUUACUUAAAGCAACCAACUUGUGGCAGAUUUACACACCACUGAUUCUGCCUUUGCGACCAGUGCAGAUCAUGAUCCGCCUGCACAAUCAUGCAGUCUGAUUAUGAUCUGCACUGUUCGUCAUUCAGUCAGUAACUUUUUGGUUUGCACCUCUUUAUAGCAGUUAAUGGUACUGUCCAAAUUUAAAGAUGGACAGGUUCAUUAUAGAAAUUUAGCAGGUUUAAGAAAUGUCCGGAAUUUUGUUAUAUACUUAUUUAACCUACAAAUAGCAAUGUCCUCAUUUUGUCUGUUUUAACGUCACACUCUAUGACGCAAUCAAAGGUAAUAUGCCGACUUUCCAACUUUUUAUGGUGGAAGCAGACCUCAUAUGCCCUCGUAUUUUUUCCCAGUGAACAGAUGUAUCGUGCUGUAUAGAUUGUUUUUAGAUAUUAAUUCUGCAAGAACUUGUGAUACAUAUAUAUAGAAUUUCUGCUCGCAAUAACUUUAGUUGUGGUUUAAAUUGCUUGCUAUACUUUCUGUACUCCUGAAUAAACGUAUUUUAACCAAAACAUCUUCCCACUCUACACAAGUCCCUUCCCCCUCAUCCUCCCGAAGCCUUACUCUGCAGAACACAAAAUGCAAAGAGAACAUAAUUUUGCAAAAACUCGAUGGUGGAUAAUAGUUUAGUUUAAUCAUAUUUUAUUGCAUAUCUUCACUAUAUACAUAAAAUAUACAUAUCUAAUACAAAAGUGUGAAAAUAGCAAAUGGGUUGGACUUUAUAUUAUACUAACAAUGUACAACAGCCCUUCCCACAGCGUCUGAUAAUUUGUAGAUAAAAACUAAUGGCGGUUUUAUAGUUUAAAGAAAUGAAGAAAAACACCUAGAUAAUGUUUCAAUUACACAACGAAAAAAAAAGAGAAAAAGAAAUAAAUAAAAAUAGAAAUAAAAAGGAAAAAUUGACUAAAUUAAACUGUGGUUGUACUUCUAUUACAAUGUCACCGACGCGACCGACCGCCCCUCCCCCCACCCCUCCCCCGAUGUUCGAUCCUCUGCUGAGCUAGAUACUACAUGUAUUCUGUGACCAGGAAGCGCUAUAAUUAUACUCGUUAAUAGAAUCGUCCUGUAUUUUUUAUGUAUACUUGACGUCAUUAAAAAUCUGUUCAUUUUGUGAGUCAGUCAAAUUAUCUGCACCAAAAAGAAGUUUGAGUGAGCUUAAGGGAAAGAGCGAAUACUUUGAAAGAGUUGUAGCCUUGCAUUUCGAAACCGGUUACAUAUGAAAAAGAAAUGUUCUGCAUCUUCAACUUCAUUUCCACAUGCGCAAACAGGAUCAUCUCUGAGAUGGUUUGUAAAAAGGUCAAAAUUUAAGUUGCUGCACCUAUUUCUCAUGCGUGCGUGAUGAACUGAAUGUAAUCUUUCUCCGUAUAAAAAGUAUUAAGGUGCAUUUGGUGGUUUGGAGAUAUUUUUUAACUGGGAUUUGAAAGAAGCAAGUGUCGGUGAAUCGCGGAUAUCAUUAUCGAGUUCAUUCUAUAGAUUCAGUGAUGACGAGAUGAUAGAUUUAGAGUACAUUUCAGUACGCCUUGGUAGAGGAUAAUAGUUAUUGCUAUCUAACGAAUUUCUGUCGCAAAAUGAUUUAAAUACUUGAAAGGGAACAGAAAAAGAGACAUAAUAUAAACGAUGAAAUUAUUCAAAUUAUAAUAAUUCUUGUAACGCUUUGCAUUUCGCUUUUUGUCAUUGUUAUGUCAUUUUUACAGACAAUUCCAAAGUUACCAUCCGGACAAUUACACCAAUAAGAUAGAACAAUAUAUUUAAAGAGUAAACGUAUUAGAGAAACGUUGCGAUUUUCGCGCCCUGUGUUUUCUCUUUUAGCCUAAAGUUCGCUUUUCUGGAGAAAAUAAGAGAUUCCAAUAUCUAAAUAUAACAUUGCAUGAAAGUUUUGGACCAUGGUAACUUUCGGUUUCAUAAGCAUUAACCUAUUUAAUUAACCAGUGGUAAAACACAGUGAUAAAGGACAAAGUUACUCAUAUUGCAAUUAGGUUUCCCACGUAUGUUUCAGGUAACUUUCGGUUUCAUAUCUUUCAGUACAUUCAACUGUAAGAUUAUAUCAGUUUCUUAAUGAACGAUUUUCUAUUACCUUCGGUAAAACUGGUCAGGUAGCUUAUCCUACGAAUAUUUCACAGAUAUCAGACAGGAGGUCUUUUCACAAAAGCUGAAAUGGGUGCUUCAAGUUCAAGCUCAAGUAAUUCUGGCAGUAGCAGUGGUACUAAAAAGGGAGAAGACUGGACCUUUAAGAUAUAUUUUGACCCUGAUGCAGACAAAAGCUCAGGAGCAUUCUAUGAAAUUGAGGAUUCUGAACUGAUUGAAAAACUAACUGAUCUUGUAGAUGCCGACGAAGAUAUAAUCAACAUCCGUGCAUAUAAGCAAAAGCUGUGGUCGUGGCAACUUACGCAACUUUUGUUCUGUCAUAUGUUUAUUAUGUUUGAAACAGACGAUUGGUGGUGGUCAAUUGAAAAGAACUCUGAAGGAAUUACCAUACAAAGAAGUAAAAAGAUAGAAGCUGUGAAGGAACAAUACAGGCGAACGAAACGGAAUACCAUAAAACUGAUGGAAGAGGAUAAAGGAAGAAAAAGUAUGCUGGAUUUGAUUAAAUGGCUUUACAAAGAAAACGAACUGAACAAAAAGUACGAUUAUCUGUCAAGCAAUUGCAAACAUUUUGCCAAGGCGGUUUUUGAUCAUGUAGCUAAGAAUAAAUUUUUGUAAAUAUGUGCAUUUAGAUGUUGUGUGAAUUAGAAAACAGUUCAUAUUACUUAAUACAUAGCUUGGCAUUUCGAUUUAUCAAUAUGAAAAUUCGACUUACUUUCUAGCCAUGAAGUUGAAAUUUCGAGUUACAGAAUCGAAAUUUCUUGUUAGUAAGUCGGAAUUUUGAGUCAAUGAAAAAUACGCACCUGGUCGUAUGGUCUUCCGCCAAACAAUGAUAAACACCAUGCAUGAGGAAACGAAAUGAUUUUAACUUAAAGAUAUGAAAUUAUAAUGAAUGAAAUUCGAUUGGUACAGUCGGAAGUACGGAUAAAGCGUUCGUGUGUGUAGUUUAUCAACCGAAACAUGUAAUUAUAGAUUUACACGUUUGGCGGCAAAAUUUUAAGUCGCGCGCAGUCUGCGAAAGUAUUUGCCACACCCUUUAACAAGUUUACUAGUUAUACUCGUUUGAAUUGCUGCACACAGACCUAAGAUUGAAACAUGUGUCACGCAUGAACACCAGAUGCAUUUCUUUCGCGAGUGGCAAAUAUCUAAAAUAUUUUAAAUCAAACUGGUAAAACAUAUAUUUGGAUGCACCAAGGAACAAUAAAUUUGACUCAUACGGAAAAAAUGUUAAGAGAACACUUAUUGACCAGUUUAUUCAGAAAUGGCACGGGCAACUUGCAAAUUCUUCAAAAGUUCUUAACUACAGACUACUCAAAAGGUGAAAUUAAAUUUAAACAAUAUUUAAGUAUACUUCCAGACAACCUACGUUACUCACUUUUUCAUUUUAGGACGGGAAAUCAUAGGUUCCCUGUAGUAACGGGUCGGUGGCGUAACUCAAACCUCCCAUAUGAAGCCCGUAAAUGUAAUCUGUGCAGUCUAAAUGAAGUUGGCGAUGUGUUUCACUACCUCUUUGUAUGCCCAUUUUUUUUGCAUCCAAAGAAAACGCUAUAUACCAAGUUACUACAACAAGAGGCCGAAUACUUUGAAAUUUAAGGAAUUGAUUUCAAGAGGACACUUACCUCUCCUUAGAAAUAUAGCACUAUUUGUACGUUGUAUUAUGCAUCAUUUAAAUUGUAAGUUAGGUAGAAUAGAAAAUUGAAAGUGUAUUUAUAUUUCAACUCACCCGAACAUAUGUAUGUAAUCCAAAUUAAGAAUAUUGUCUUCAAAGAAUUAGCACUUUUCCUUUCAUAAAGCAUUCCCAGGAAAUGGUCUCUUUUUGUUUUGCUAUAGUUUUACUAUAUUGUUUUGAAGUGAGCGUAACUCUUGACACACUUUUGUGCUAUUUCAAUCACGACCGAGAAUGUCAUUCAUAAUCUCCGCAGUAAGCGAGAUUUUCAUGCAAAAGUACUAUCGUAGUACGGUUGUAGAUUUUUUCCCACGAUAACUGACCGUAUUUUCGCAUGGUCCGCGCAUGUGUAUUCAAUAUUGCUGUGUAUACAAUGUACCUGUAUUUUAGUGAGGAACUGUUAUUUUUUCUUUUACCUUUCUCUUAUCUUAACUGUUUUGACAUCUGUAAUUAUCUAUAAUUUUAAGGCGAUUAGGCUGUAUUUAUUUGCAAAAUAAUUCCAUCUAUCUGUAAACAUUAACAAUAUGCUUUGUUGAUGACAAAAUAACUGUCCCCAUAUUCAUUACAGAAAACUAUCUAAUUGUAUUAUUGCUAAGAAAAACCCACACAUUAUUUGCUUUAUUCAGUCAUAUAUACCGUUACAUUAUGUGACCUGACUUAAAUAAAAGUAAUUGUUGUUGUUGUUGGCACAGCCAUGAGUGAAUAUGUAAGAUAAUAAGAUAUGGCGUCAUGAAUUAAAGAUAUUUUGAUUUUACAUGUAAAAAAAAAAAAGGAAUUUCUUUUCAUUUCAUGUCUGGACUAAAUUUACCCACCAGUGAAAAAUACAAUUGAUACGUUUCGCUUUGAAUAUAUGAGAUAUAUUUUACUCUAGUAUUUCGACAUUUCACUAAAUAGAAAAACAUGCAAUAAAAUUGCUGAGUACAUAAUCGUGGUAUGAAAAUAUAGCUAAUACAUUAUUUAGAGAAAAUGAAAAGAAAGUGCAAACAAGUCUUGUAGCAUUUCUAUUUUGUUAUGCAUAACAAAUAAUUUUAUUUUAUUAUUUGUAACAACUCUUGUUUUGUAUGCCGCAAUGAAUAUCACAAGUGAUGUUUCUAUUGUUUCUAUUCAAAUAGAACAGAACAGAACAAAAGUUUAUUCAGUAAUUUGUACAUAUAGUACCUCAUUACAUAAUAUACAUUUACAUAUAAGAUAUGAUCAUGUGGCAAAGUUAUUGAAAAUUUAAAAUUUAAAAUGGAGAACGGAUCGUAACAAGCCGUAACGGGCUGAUCUUUUUACCCCAAGACACCCUAGAACACCCCAAAACAUAGCAACCACCAUGACACCCAGCAUCAAAAUAACUGUGAGUGGAUAACUAUAUAACAUGAUAACUCAAGGGGAACAAUCCAAAACCGCUUAACUGUAAAUAAAGAUGUUGCAGUUAUUUCCCUUUCAAUUGGUGCAAUUUGACAGACAAACAAACCUAAAAAUGUACACUGGGAGGUCCCGGGGCAAAAAGACCCGCGAAUCGUAACGGUCUUGAAAAUAAAGAUGAUGAUGUUGCGAAUGAACACAAAAAACGUUACAAUAACAACAUCAGUGAUUACUAUUCAAUAUUGAUAUGGUAACAUAAACUGUCUGAAAGAAUGAACUAUGUAUAAUUCACUAUGACAAAAAAAUAACUAGUUGUUAGUACUGCUGGUAUUAAUGUUUCCAUGCAGGUAUAAUUGUCAAUACUUUUAUGCAAUGUGGGAUGAACACAAUUAAUAAUUUCAAUUACCGUAUACACAUGAAACAAUCAUAUCAACACUACAAAUAGAGCUGCUUUUGAGAAAAGGGAAUGCCUCCCACAACUGCCUAGUCAUUUAAAUUGCAAGUCAAGUCUUUAUAUACAGAUUACUCACAACAAUUCAAGGGCCCAAACUCCGCUUUGGCUCAUUAUCGAACUUGUCCGAGGUCUUACUGUCAAACACAUUGUAUACAAAUUUGGCGAAGAUCGUAUUGGAAUAUUCAAAUUAGAGUGCUGACAACAGCAAAAGAGCCGAUUUUUCGGUAAUUCAAGGGCCAUAACUCCAAAAUGCCUGAACCGAUUUGGCUAGGUAUUCAACUUGGCCCUUUAUGGUCAAACACAUUUCGUUCAAGUUUGGUGGAGAUCGGAUAAGAAAUGUUCGGCUUAAAUUGCGGACAAGAGCAACAAGGCCGAUGUUUCGGUAAAUCAAUGGCCGUUACUCCAAUAUACCUGGACCGGUUUAGCUAGUUAUCGUUGACUUAAAGUGCGGACAAGCUUUGUGACAGACAGACAGACAGACAGACACACACUAUUCAAAUAUAUUACAUAUAAUAUGUCAUUAUAUCAAUGAAAAAUGCCACAUUAACUUUGUAUUUGUUAUUGUGUACGCUAUUAAGAAUAAUUUGUGAAUGAUAAUUUUGUACAGAAGUUGUGAAAAUAAAAACACUGAAUAUCA